UACGUAGGGUGCGAGCGUUAAUCGGAAUUACUGGGCGUAAAGCGUGCGCAGGCGGUUCGUUGUGUCGGCGGUGAAAGCCCCGGGCUUAACCUGGGAAUGGCCGUUGAAACUGGCGAACUGGAGUGUGGCAGAGGGGGGUGGAAUUCCGCGUGUAGCAGUGAAAUGCGUAGAUAUCGGGAGGAACACCUGUGGCGAAAGCGGCUCACUGGACCACAACUGACGCUGAGGCGCGAAAGCUAGGGGAGCAAACAGG
This 253-nucleotide ribosomal RNA is filed under the name uncultured bacterium. Its description in RNAcentral is "partial 16S ribosomal RNA". It matches the Rfam family "Bacterial small subunit ribosomal RNA", at positions 524 to 776 of the family's 1533-position model. The record is from RNAcentral.